Molecule: long non-coding RNA, 808 nt
Filed under: Rattus norvegicus (Norway rat)
Lineage: Eukaryota; Metazoa; Chordata; Mammalia; Rodentia; Muridae
Description: long non-coding RNA NONRATT023953
Source: RNAcentral
GGCAGUUGUGAGCCAUUACCAUGAGUGCUAGAAACUGAACUUUGGUCCUCUGCAAGGACACACGCCCUUACCACUGGGCAUGGCAGUACACCUCUUUAAUCCCAGUACUUAGGAGACAGAAGCAGACAGUGCUGCCUAAUUUACAUAGUUAAGUUUCAGGACAGCCAGAUUAUGUGAGACAGACUCUGUCUUAAAAACACCCAAAAGAACAGUACAAGCUUAACUACUUGGCCAUCUCUCCAGUGUCAAUGGAUUUAUUCUUCCUUUUGUGAGCUGCAUGGUGUCGAUACUGAGAACCUAAUUUGGGUUCUGGCGAGUGGUGUUACUCAGUGAACCAUCUUGAUGACCUUGUACUCCCCCCUCCUCCUGCUCCCAAAUGCUGCAAUUUCAAAUGUGUGUCACUGAACUCAACAUAGGUCUUCUUACAUACAAACCACUGCACUGAAGGAGGAAAUGAGUUAGCAGGGAGGCAGUGCCUUUACUACACAUUUAAGCUGUGAUACGACCUAAUUAUCAAUUCCCAAACUAACUGGAAAUUUACAUGCUAGCUAUGCAUAGUGCUGCACACCUAUAAUCCCAGUUUUCAGGAGACAAAGACGUGAUGGCUGCAAACUCCAGGCUAGCCUGGGGUAUACAGUGGAGAGUCUGUUUAAAAAAAAAAAAAAAGGUGCAGGGAAUAGUUGUGCUACUGAAUAAGAUGCAGGACUGGGGCUGGAAAUCCCCUACCUAAGAUCACAUGUGAGAACAGAAGUCCCAAGUCCUCUCAUUGGAAACACCUAACCUGGAAGGUCAGAGUGGGCUAGGAAGU